ACCCCUGAAUUUAUUAGAAUUCGACCCUAGCUCCUAUCCUCUAUCUUAUCCAGACGCUCCGUCUGGAAUGCCCUUCCCGCCGUUCCUCCCGCCGCAUGGCCUUCGCCGGCCCUCCGCCACGCAGUGGUGCGCCCGAGCUUGGGAGCGCCGCUGCUGCGUCCGCGCUGGUCCUGGAUCCUAGACGGCGAGCCUCCCCGACCUUUGAUCCCCUCGCUUCAACGGCGGUGGCACCCGUCCUUAAUAUUGACAGCCCGAUUCCGGCCAACUCCGACGCCUUCCCCGGUCUGCCGCUCAUGGGAACGGAUCACUUCGCGCCCCCUACUGAUUCUCCCUGUAGCCGGCCUUCCUCGCCACCCCGGCGAGCCGCUUGGCCACCGAGGAGACGAGUUGCGCCGCCCGUGAGCACCUCUCCUGAUUCCUCUCUUCCCUCUCCCGCAUCGGCCGCGCGAGUAGGAGCACGCCGCCUGCCGCGUGCCGUCGGCCAUGGAUGCGGCCUAGAACUACUACCGCCCCUGCCCUGCCGUGCGCCGACGGCCAUGGACCAGUUGCGCGAGGAGGAGCACGCCACGGCGGCCGCGCAUGAAUGCGGCCGAGAACUGCUGCCGCCCCUGAACUGCAGCCGCGACGCGCCGCACCUGUCGUGCGCCCCUGUCCUGGGCAUGAUGCUGCUGCCGCUCGGUGCUGCCGCUGGGUCGUGCUGCUGCUCGCCUCUCCGGUCCGCCGGUGCCUCCCGCUCGGGCGGCGUCCCGGGCUGACGGGGACGCGCAGCGUGCGUCCGAGCUGCUGCUCGCAUCGCGUCGCGACCGCUGCUGGACCCGAGGGAGCAGCCGGCUGCGCGCGUCCGGGGGAGCGCCCGAGCAGCUCGCGUUCGAGCUGACGGCUGUGUGCGCGCCCAAGGGAGCAGCUACCCAGUGCAGCGGCAUCAGCUACCCAAUGAAUGCCCACAACUUUUGUUUAUUAGUUUUUUGUCUAUUGCUGGUUGGUGUAAUCUGCAAGAAAGUGACAGAAUAGUCUAUUUAUCAAGUAUAUGAAAGUCUGAAGUCCCUUUUGAACAAAAGGUUGAUCAUAAGCGAACCAUGUUGGAUCCAAACAAUUUCAUUGUUCAGGAUACGCCU
Molecule: long non-coding RNA, 1115 nt
Organism: Aegilops tauschii subsp. strangulata
Lineage: Eukaryota; Viridiplantae; Streptophyta; Magnoliopsida; Poales; Poaceae
Source: RefSeq, a predicted model, not a curated record